ACGGGUGAGUAACGCGUGGGAAUCUACCCAUCUCUACGGAAUAACGCAUGGAAACGUGUGCUAAUACCGUAUGCGUCCUUCGGGAGAAAGAUUUAUCGGAGAUGGAUGAGCCCGCGUUGGAUUAGCUAGUUGGUGGGGUAAAGGCCUACCAAGGCGACGAUCCAUAGCUGGUCUGAGAGGAUGAUCAGCCACACUGGGACUGAGACACGGCCCAGACUCCUACGGGAGGCAGCAGUGGGGAAUAUUGGACAAUGGGCGCAAGCCUGAUCCAGCCAUGCCGCGUGAGUGAUGAAGGCCCUAGGGUUGUAAAGCUCUUUCACCGGUGAAGAUAAUGACGGUAACCGGAGAAGAAGCCCCGGCUAACUUCGUGCCAGCAGCCGCGGUAAUACGAAGGGGGCUAGCGUUGUUCGGAUUUACUGGGCGUAAAGCGCACGUAGGCGGACUAUUAAGUCAGGGGUGAAAUCCCGGGGCUCAACCCCGGAACUGCCUUUGAUACUGGUAGUCUUGAGUUCGAGAGAGGUGAGUGGAAUUCCGAGUGUAGAGGUGAAAUUCGUAGA
Molecule: ribosomal RNA, 557 nt
Filed under: uncultured bacterium
Lineage: Bacteria
Description: bacterial SSU rRNA
Rfam family: Bacterial small subunit ribosomal RNA
Source: RNAcentral